RNAcentral lists this ribosomal RNA (189 nucleotides) under uncultured bacterium. RNAcentral describes it as "partial 16S ribosomal RNA". It matches the Rfam family "Bacterial small subunit ribosomal RNA", at positions 338 to 524 of the family's 1533-position model. The record is from RNAcentral.
CCUAGGGGAGGCAGCAGUGAGGAAUAUUGGUCAAUGGGCGGAAGUCUGAACCAGCCAAGUAGCGUGCAGGAUGACGGCCCUAUGGGUUGUAAACUGCUUUUAUACAGGAAUAAAGUUAGCCACGUGUGGUUAUUUGUAGGUACUGUAUGAAUAAGGACCGGCUAAUUCCGUGCCAGCAGCCGCGGUAAC